This 492-nucleotide ribosomal RNA is filed under the name uncultured bacterium. Its description in RNAcentral is "partial 16S ribosomal RNA". It matches the Rfam family "Bacterial small subunit ribosomal RNA", at positions 29 to 507 of the family's 1533-position model. The record is from RNAcentral.
AGUGAACGCUGGCGGUAGGCCUAACACAUGCAAGUCGAACGGCAGCACAGUAAGAGCUUGCUCUUACGGGUGGCGAGUGGCGGACGGGUGAGGAAUACAUCGGAAUCUACUUUUUCGUGGGGGAUAACGUAGGGAAACUUACGCUAAUACCACAUACGACCUACGGGUGAAAGCAGGGGAUCUUCGGACCUCGCGCGAUUGAAUGAGCCGAUGUCGGAUUAGCUAGUUGGCGGGGUAAAGGCCCACCAAGGCGACGAUCCGUAGCUGGUCUGAGAGGAUGAUCAGCCACACUGGAACUGAGACACGGUCCAGACUCCUACGGGAGGCAGCAGUGGGGAAUAUUGGACAAUGGGCGCAAGCCUGAUCCAGCCAUACCGCGUGGGUGAAGAAGGCCUUCGGGUUGUAAAGCCCUUUUGUUGGGAAAGAAAAGCAGCAGGUUAAUACCCCGCUGUUCUGACGGUACCCAAAGAAUAAGCACCGGCUAACUUCGUG